Molecule: non-coding RNA, 108 nt
Organism: Acanthosepion pharaonis
Lineage: Eukaryota; Metazoa; Mollusca; Cephalopoda; Sepiida; Sepiidae
Source: the annotation of a GenBank genome assembly
UUACGGUCACAUCACGUUGAAAGACUGGUUCCCGUACGAUCACCGAAGUUAAGCAACCUCGAACCUGGUCAGUACCUAAAUGGUUUACUGCUUUGGAAUACCAGGUGU